RNAcentral lists this ribosomal RNA (230 nucleotides) under uncultured bacterium. RNAcentral's name for it is "partial 16S ribosomal RNA". It matches the Rfam family "Bacterial small subunit ribosomal RNA", at positions 563 to 791 of the family's 1533-position model. The record is from RNAcentral.
AAGCGUGCGCAGGCGGUUUUGUAAGACUGUCGUGAAAUCCCCCGGGCUCAACCUGGGAAUGGCGAUGGUGACUGCAAGGCUAGAGUUUGGCAGAGGGGGGUAGAAUUCCACGUGUAGCAGUGAAAUGCGUAGAUAUGUGGAGGAACACCGAUGGCGAAGGCAGCCCCCUGGGUCAAAACUGACGCUCAUGCACGAAAGCGUGGGGAGCAAACAGGAUUAGAUACCCCUGU